This 507-nucleotide ribosomal RNA is filed under the name uncultured Glomeromycotina. Its description in RNAcentral is "partial small subunit ribosomal RNA". It matches the Rfam family "Eukaryotic small subunit ribosomal RNA", at positions 591 to 1092 of the family's 1831-position model. The record is from RNAcentral. Lineage: Eukaryota; Fungi; Glomeromycota.
CCAAUAGCGUAUAUUAAAGUUGUUGCAGUUAAAAAGCUCGUAGUUGAAUUUCGGGAUUGACGUGAUGGUCGUGCCUUAAGGGGUAUGAACUGUUGCAGUCAAUUUCUCACCUUCUGGAGAAAUAUGAUGUUCUUAAUUGAGUGUCAUAUGGAACCAGGACCUUUACCUUGAAAAAAUUAGAGUGUUUAAAGCAAGCAUUAUUGCUAGAAUACAUUAGCAUGGAAUAAUAAAAUAGGACGGCAUGGUUCUAUUUUGUUGGUUUCUAGGAUCACCGUAAUGAUUAAUAGGGAUAGUUGGGGGCAUUAGUAUUCAAUUGUCAGAGGUGAAAUUCUUGGAUUUAUUGAAGACUAACUACUGCGAAAGCAUUUGCCAAGGAUGUUUUCAUUAAUCAAGAACGAAAGUUAGGGGAUCGAAGACGAUCAGAUACCGUCGUAGUCUUAACCAUAAACUAUGCCGACUAGGAAUCAGACGAUGUUAAUUUUUUAAUGACUCGUUUGGCACCUUACG